Non-coding RNA from Meleagris gallopavo (turkey), 3182 nucleotides. Lineage: Eukaryota; Metazoa; Chordata; Aves; Galliformes; Phasianidae. The record is from RefSeq and is a predicted model, not a curated record.
AUGGCACCCGAUCUCUCAGACAUAUCAAAUACACCACUCAGCUUGUUGUCAUCCACCAGCUUGCUGAGGGUGCACUUGAUCCCACUGUUGUUGUUGUUGAUGAAGAUAUUAAACCACACUGAUUCCAGUAUUGACUUGAAGGACACCACUUGUCCCUGAUCUCCAUUCAGACCUAGAGCCAUUGACCAUAACUCUCUGGGUACAAUUUCACAAACAGUUCCUUGUACACUGAAAAGUCCACCCAUCAAAUCUGUAUCUUUCCAAUUCAGAGAGAAGAAUGUUCACAUCUAAAGCCUUAGUGCAGUCUAGAUGACUGCACACUAGAUGAAAUCAGUGGCUCUUCUCUUGUCCAUUGAUGUAGUUACACCAUCAUAGAAGGCUGCUAGGUUGUCCAAGCAGGACUUGACCUUUGUGAAGCCAUAGUAGUUCUUUCAAAUCACCCCCUGUAUGGGAACUGUUGAUCACGGCCUGAUGCUCUGAUUGACCACCUGAGGCGAGCACUGAAUCAGCUGCAGGAGCACAGGUGAAGGCAAUUCUCCUGUGCUACCAGGAAGGGGUAGAGCCUGCCUUCACCUCUCCUAGACCCCAUUUAAUGGCUGACUGCCACUGAGGAAGGAUCUCUCUCUGGAGAUCACUCCUUGUGGAGUUUACUGUGAGCCUACAACACUGAAUAGCUUCAAGGAGGAUCCUUCCAUCAUCUUUCUCUGUGCAGAGGUGCAUGUGAUCAGCUCUUGAGGAAACAGGAGAAGUGAAGCAAGAAGAACAACCAGUUUAAUUCACUACAUCACAACUUGUGUUUGAGGGAGCCUGACUUUGCAGGGGGGCUGUUCUAGGAAAGAGCAGAUGACCUCCCAUGCAAUUGGUUACAACACCUGAAGGGUGUAAGCAUAGUAUGAUGGGAAAGAGGUAAAAUGGAUCAGAGCUCUUGUGUAAAGUGAGCCUCAGUUACAUUUCUGCUAUGGUAGAAUGCAAUAGCUGGGAUAUAGUGUGACCUGCCUCUGGUGACCCCAUUUUUGCCUAAAUUGCAGAGACUUGUGACUUGGCUCACUUAAAGUGUACCAGUUUGUUAGGUCAUUCCUUGUAUUAGGUGGAUAGCCUUGAAGACUUUGAAAAAGGAGGUUCUGACUGCAGUAGACAACUGAGGCAAAGAGGAUCUGAGAUGAGCAGAGAGGAAACCCUUAAAAGGUCUUUCUCUCUGGAUAGGGAUGUUCCAAAAUCUAUCCAGAACUUGUGGUAUUUGAAAAUCUUGCAUGGUUGUCCUAUGAUAUGAUGCCUGUUGUGUAUCCUAAAGAACUGAUGAAUUGCAAAUUGCUUUAUUAAAUGCUUUAGUUAAAUACUGAUCCAUAAUAGAUGCUUUGCAAAUGCAGUAAAUAAAGAAGAGGAACACAAACAGUCUUCUAAGAGAUCCAACAGCAAGUUGGGAGAGUCUGUGGAGUAGAAUUUCAUGGACUUCCAAUUCAGUUUCUAAUCAGUUCUGCAUGUCUGUCCUACAGUUAUAGCCCAGCAUCCCUGUAACAUUUUGUUAUUGCUGAAGAAUGUAUUCUGCUGCGGUAGCAACCUCAUUUUGCUGUCUGGUACAGCUUCUCUCAUCUUCCUGAAUGUCAAGAGGAAUCAGCCUUCUUCAGUCAGCAGUAGAUUUCAUGCCUUACCUAACAGGACCUUAAUUCUCAAGAGUGCACUUCAAGAGGAUUGAAGGAAGUAUGCUGUCAAGAGAGAUGAUGUAUCUGGUUAUCUCCUUUACAAAAGAGGCUUUCAACUACAUGUGUAAGGUAGAUUUAAACGUCUUAAGAAUAAUGUUUUGUUGUGCUAAGUGUCUCAAAGCUACUUUUAUCUCUACAUCACAUUCCUUGUAGCACAUAAAAGAAUUUUUAACAACGUAUAAAUGAUGCCUCUAUGAUACAGUUAGGAACUGAGAGUCUUUUAACUGAAAUGUGAAAAUGCAUACCAUUUCUGUCCACAAUUGAUUUUUUUCCAUUGCUUUUUGAAUCAGUAAGUAAUAUAUUUUUGUGAAUAAGUCUUAUUUUGGAUUUAGGCAAAAAAAUCUAAGUGGUGAAUUUCUCAAGUUGUCAUUUCAGAAUUGGUAAAUGACAAAUUGCUGCCUUUUUUUUUUCUCCCUGAUUUUUUUUUUAUUCUAGAGAGACCCCCAGCUCCAAGACUGGCAAAAACACAGAGUUUCAGUCUCCAGUGAGAUAAAAAAUAAAUAUAUAGAAAGAAGGGCUCCAGAGAAAAGAAUCAGGGAUGAGUAUCAGUUUGAUCUGUAUACUUCUCAGUAUUCAGGGAGUGCUUUAAGGUUGUCAGCAUCAUCAGAAAUUCACUUUAUAGUGUGAACCUCCAUAAGAAUAACUGUCCACACGUGCAAGUGAUCAGAAGUGCUGUUGCAGAGGACUGGAAAGUAUAAGGUAGAAAUCCCUGCAGUCAAUAUUCUUAAUCUUUCAAGGUGUGAAAGUUGGUCUCAUGGUGACCUUCCUGAGCUUUAGAAGGCUUAGGUCUGGCUGUACUUCUGUUGCAAAGCAAACUUUGUUGUGGUGUAGUUUGGACCUUUUCAGGAACUACUCCAUUAGAGGAGAACUGGGCACUAUGGUGGUCUGCCCUCCUCCAUAUUAACAGUUGAUCCAGUUUGCUCUGCCAUAUGAUAAGGAAUCAGCCCUGAAGGCCAUACUUGCACUUUCUGAAAAAGUUAAUCACUUCAGAUUUUCAGGAUAUGCAGGAAUUAUCUAGUCUUAAAUGGCCAUAUUUAUUUUUCUGUCUUAGCCUCAACCAGGUGCUAUCUUGUUAAAGAGUCAUGGACUUUUCUACUUGCUUUUCUGUUUCAACUUUGCAUGCUGAAGUUUUGACCCCACAAAAAAAAAAAAAAAUGCUUUUCAAUCUCAUUCAGUUUGUAGACUCCUAAGUUGUUUCCAGUGGAGAUCUUGUCCUUGUACAAUGAAUUUCAAUCUUUGGACUCCUUUUUUUAAUAUAUGUAGUUUGACAAGAGCCAGCAGUGUGCUCUUGCAGCCCAGAAAGCCAAAAGUAUCCUGAGCUGCAUCAAAAGAGGAGUGGCCAGCAUGGAGAAGGAGGGGAUUAUCCCCCUCUGCUUUGCCCUUGUGAGGCCCCUUCCAACCUAAGCCAUUUGAUGAUAUCAUAAUCUAGAGUUGCUAAGCAGUUGGAGUCACAGUAGGAAGUGAUAUAUAGAUCUCUCUCUC